This 434-nucleotide ribosomal RNA is filed under the name uncultured bacterium. RNAcentral's name for it is "partial 16S ribosomal RNA". It matches the Rfam family "Bacterial small subunit ribosomal RNA", at positions 341 to 792 of the family's 1533-position model. The record is from RNAcentral.
ACGGGAGGCAGCAGUGGGGAAUAUUGCACAAUGGGGGAAACCCUGAUGCAGCAACGCCGCGUGAAGGAAGACGGUCUUCGGAUUGUAAACUUCUGUUUUUAGUGAAGAUAAUGACGGUACUUUAGGAGCAAGCUACGGCUAACUACGUGCCAGCAGCCGCGGUAAUACGUAGGUGGCAAGCGUUGUCCGGAAUUACUGGGUGUAAAGGGAGCGCAGGCGGGAAAGCAAGUUGGAUGUGAAAUCUCGGGGCUUAACCCCGGAACUGCAUCCAAAACUGAAGUUCUUGAGUGAAGUAGAGGUAGGCGGAAUUCCUGGUGUAGCGGUGAAAUGCGUAGAUAUUAGGAGGAACACCGGUGGCGAAGGCGGCCUACUGGGCUUUAACUGACGCUGAGGCUCGAAAGUGUGGGGAGCAAACAGGAUUAGAUACCCUGGUA